Molecule: long non-coding RNA, 1049 nt
Filed under: Homo sapiens (human)
Lineage: Eukaryota; Metazoa; Chordata; Mammalia; Primates; Hominidae
Description: uncharacterized LOC105379051, transcript variant 1 (LOC105379051)
Source: RNAcentral
CUCGCUAUUGUUCCAUCUGCAACUGAGCACCUUUUCUGCAGAAAGUAAAGACAGCCUUGCUAAGAGAUCAUUUGUCUCCAAGCUGACUUUUCUUUGCAGCACCGAUUAUCUAUUUCUAACAAUUUUGGGGGCUCGUCCAGGAUUACAGUCUCCUCUAGGGUGGGUCUCCAGUCCUCUCUUGUGAGAAGGCAUGCCCCACUACCUCGUUUUUGGCAGCCUCAGGGGUGAGGAACCGAGAUCCACCCAGUGUGAUGAAUAAACUGGGACUCUCAGCAACGUGGAAAGAAACUGGCUAGCAACGUAGGGUAAAGGAUCCUCACAUACUGCGGUAAUGACUCUGCACAGACCAAGGAAGGAGAAACCAUGGGAGCUGAGGCGUAUUGCUACAUUUGGGGCAAUGCGUACAUAUGUGGUUUCGUUAGCUCCAGCGGGGGCUAAUCCUCUGACAGAGCCACCUCUCACACGAAACACUGAAUGGAGGCGAUCCCGAGAUGGAUGGAGCAGCAGCAGCGCAGGUUGCUGCAGGACAGGACUAAUGGGAAGAUUGGAUGGGAUAAUGGAUCUCCUAAAGUAUCACACACCUAUAGCAACACGCAAACAAAGGAUACCAAUAAAGUAAUACUAUCGUGAAAGGUAUUAGAAAAUGUGAGGUGCUAUACAAAUACCAGUUAUUACAGAUAAGUACCACAGAAUUUGGAGUGCACCUAUGUUGAGCCCUAGCUAUUUCACUUACUAUAAAAUCAAUGUAUCCUCACUGUGUCUUCAGUGAAAUGUAAAAUGGAGUCUGUAUAGGGGUUAGGAACACAGACUCUAGAGUUUGACUGCCUGAGUUUAAAUACCAACUCUACUAUUUACUAGCUGUGUGACCUUAGGUAAAUUACUGAAUCCUUCUGUGUCUCAAUUUUCUCAUUAGUAAAAUGGGAUCAAUGUGAAGAUUAAAUGAGUUAAUGCAUAUAAAGCCCGUAGAAGAGUGCCUCUCUCAAAGUAACCCUAUAUACAUGUUUGCUGUUUCAACUGCAUAAUAAUAUUAAAAGAUUUUUUUCAAUCUU